AUUGAACGCUGGCGGAAUGCUUUACACAUGCAAGUCGAACGGCAGCACGGACUUCGGUCUGGUGGCGAGUGGCGAACGGGUGAGUAAUGUAUCGGAACGUGCCCAGUCGUGGGGGAUAACGUAGUGAAAAUUACGCUAAUACCGCAUACGAUCUAUGGAUGAAAGCGGGGGAUCGCAAGACCUCGCGCGAUUGGAGCGGCCGAUAUCAGAUUAGGUAGUUGGGGGGGUAAAGGCCCACCAAGCCAACGAUCUGUAGCUGGUCUGAGAGGACGAGCGGCCACACUGGAACUGAGACACGGUCCAGACUCCUACGGGAGGCAGCAGUGGGGAAUUUUGGACAAUGGGCGAAAGCCUGAUCCAGCCAUUCCGCGUGCAGGAUGAAGGACCUCGGGUUGUAAACUGCUUUUGUACAGAACGAAAAGGUUUCUACUAAUACUAGGAGCUCAUGACGGUACUGUAAGAAUAAGCACCGGCUAACUACGUGCCAGCCGCCGCCGUAA
This 500-nucleotide ribosomal RNA is filed under the name uncultured bacterium. Its description in RNAcentral is "partial 16S ribosomal RNA". It matches the Rfam family "Bacterial small subunit ribosomal RNA", at positions 30 to 523 of the family's 1533-position model. The record is from RNAcentral.